RNAcentral lists this ribosomal RNA (525 nucleotides) under uncultured Rhodospirillales bacterium. Its description in RNAcentral is "bacterial SSU rRNA". It matches the Rfam family "Bacterial small subunit ribosomal RNA", at positions 355 to 897 of the family's 1533-position model. The record is from RNAcentral. Lineage: Bacteria; Pseudomonadati; Pseudomonadota; Alphaproteobacteria; Rhodospirillales.
UGGGGAAUAUUGGACAAUGGGGGCAACCCUGAUCCAGCAAUGCCGCGUGAGUGAUGAAGGCCUUAGGGUUGUAAAGCUCUUUCGGCGGGGACGAUGAUGACGGUACCCGCAGAAGAAGCCCCGGCUAACUUCGUGCCAGCAGCCGCGGUAAUACGAAGGGGGCUAGCGUUGUUCGGAAUUACUGGGCGUAAAGGGCGCGCAGGCGGCCGCUCAAGUCAGGUGUGAAAGCCCCGGGCUCAACCUGAGAACUGCACUUGAUACUGAGUGGCUAGAGUUCGGGAGAGGAGAGUGGAAUUCCCAGUGUAGAGGUGAAAUUCGUAGAUAUUGGGAAGAACACCGGUGGCGAAGGCGGCUCUCUGGACCGAUACUGACGCUGAGGCGCGAAAGCGUGGGGAGCAAACAGGAUUAGAUACCCUGGUAGUCCACGCCGUAAACGAUGUGCGCUAGACGUUGGGGGGCCUAGCCCUCCGGUGUCGCAGCUAACGCGAUAAGCGCACCGCCUGGGGAGUACGGCCGCAAGGUUAA